AAACCAAACAAUGUCAUCCCGGAGCAACCCCCUCUAUCUCACAUUAACCAGAUCUAAAAAAAACCCUCUCAAAUAUGUAAUCUAUUAUUUUCAGAAGCCCUAAGAGAAAGGCAAAUAAUCUCUUCUCUAUAGUAACUGAGGGGAAAACAGUUUACCAUAUUUGUUCUGAAAUAACAAAACCCAAGGAGGAACAACUCUCUCUGAGAAAUCCAGUCCUUCCAUGAGACCUCGGUGCACACAGAACUCCUCCUACCACGUGCAACCUUAUUCUCGGCUGAGCAACUCAUAAAUCGCUUAACAAAAACGGUGAUUGAUGCGGACUGUGUUUAGUGCCAUCCUUGCCGCCCCAGAUCUCCAAAUACAGGAGAUGAGCACACGUGUCCAGGGCACCCCAGACCUCUUGGGCAGGGAGAACUCUCGGCAGAGAAGACCGGAUAUGGGAGUGUGGCGUGGGAAUCGUCUGUGAGUGCUAAAGAACCGCUCCUCCACCUGCCCCAAGCUUUCCAUUAGGCUCAAAAGCAGAGUUAGCCCAGUUAAGCGCAUGGAAACUAAAUGAGUUCGCUGCGCAUUGUUCAGCUAUACAUGACCACAGGCAAGAUAAAUAUUUAGGGUCUUUAUUAAAGCUGUGAUCCUCUGCUUUAGCAGGACAGUGUAGGGACUUACUAGAGGCAAACUAUAAAAAGCAUAUGCCUCCUAGUAAAGUAAUGCUGG
Molecule: long non-coding RNA, 711 nt
Organism: Pan troglodytes (chimpanzee)
Lineage: Eukaryota; Metazoa; Chordata; Mammalia; Primates; Hominidae
Exons: 3
Source: RefSeq, a predicted model, not a curated record